Molecule: ribosomal RNA, 463 nt
Filed under: uncultured bacterium
Lineage: Bacteria
Description: SSU rRNA
Rfam family: Bacterial small subunit ribosomal RNA
Source: RNAcentral
AGAAUCAACGCUGGCGGCGUGCCUAACACAUGCAAGUCGAACGAGAAAGUGGAGCAAUCCAUGAGUACAGUGGCGUACGGGUGAGUAACACGUGACUACCUACCCUCGAGUGGGGAAUAACCUCGGGAAACCGGGGCUAAUACCGCAUAACAUCUACGGAUCAAAUGCGUAAGCAGCUUGAGGAGGGGGUCGCGGCCGAUUAGCUAGUUGGUGAGGUAAUGGCUCACCAAGGCAAUGAUCGGUAGCCGGCCUGAGAGGGCGCACGGCCACACUGGAACUGAAACACGGUCCAGACUCCUACGGGAGGCAGCAGUGGGGAAUUUUGCGCAAUGGGGGGAAACCCUGACGCAGCAACGCCGCGUGGAGGAUGAAGCCCCGUUGGGGUGUAAACUCCUUUCGAUCGGGACGAUUAUGACGGUACCGGAAGAAGAAGCGAACCGGCUAACUCUGCGCCAGCAGCCGC